RNAcentral lists this ribosomal RNA (489 nucleotides) under Triticum aestivum (bread wheat). Its description in RNAcentral is "partial small subunit ribosomal RNA". The record is from RNAcentral. Lineage: Eukaryota; Viridiplantae; Streptophyta; Magnoliopsida; Poales; Poaceae.
AUGGGUGGCAGAAGAAGUAAAGAAGUGGGUGAAAUAAAACCAGCAAGUGGGUCCAAAGGAAUUGCAGAAGAACAUCAAAGACAAGUUCAAGAUAGAUUUACCGUCCAGCAGGGAACAUACAACAUAGAUCCAGCGUUCGGAGAGAGUUUCGAUGAAGGCUUCGAUGAAAAUGUUGGUCAGCAGCCGGUUGCCUCAACAGAUGAUGAAAAUGAUGGUCAACAACCGGUUGCAUCAGAUGAGGAUUUUGACGAGGUUCCAAAUGAUGAUGGUCAACAGCCGCAUGAUUUUGAUGAUGAUCCAAAAUAUCCUCCAAAUGAUGAUUCAAGUGAGGCUCCAAAUGGUGAUCAUGGUGAUCCAAGUGAGGCUCCAAAUGGUGAUCCAAGUGAGGCUCCAAAUGGUGACCAACCUUCUGUUGUUGUGAGUUCUGCUAGCUCUGUGGUAGGUUUGAAGAAGACGCGCAAGGUACCGACAUCCAAGAGGAGAAGAUAA